GAUGAACGCUGGCGGCGUGCUUAACACAUGCAAGUCGAGCGAUGAAGUUUCCUUCGGGAAACGGAUUAGCGGCGGACGGGAGAGUAACACGUGGGUAACCUGCCUCAUAGAGUGGAAUAGCAUUCCGAAAGGAAGAUUAAUACCGCAUAAUGUUGAAAGAUGGCAUCAUCAUUCAACCAAAGGAGCAAUCCGCUAUGAGAUGGACCCGCGGCGCAUUAGCUAGUUGGUGGGGUAACGGCCUACCAAGGCGACGAUGCGUAGCCGACCUGAGAGGGUGAUCGGCCACAUGGGGACUGAGACACGGCCCAGACUCCGACGGGAGGCAGCAGUGGGGAAUAUUGCACAAUGGGGGAAACCCUGAUGCAGCAACGCCGCGUGAGUGAUGAAGGUUUUCGGAUCGUAAAGCUCUGUCUUUGGGGAAGAUAAUGACGGGACCCAAGGAGGAAGCCACGGCUAACUACGUGCCAGCCGCCGCAGUAA
RNAcentral lists this ribosomal RNA (480 nucleotides) under uncultured bacterium. RNAcentral's name for it is "partial 16S ribosomal RNA". It matches the Rfam family "Bacterial small subunit ribosomal RNA", at positions 28 to 523 of the family's 1533-position model. The record is from RNAcentral.